CAAGAAGGUUGCAUACAUUUAGCUUCAUUGUUGUGGUGUGGAACUGAACCUGCAAUAUCUCUGGGAAAUCCAGAUAAUAACUGUGGAAACCUAACUUGGAAAUGAGGUGGUGGCAAUCUGUCACCAUGACGCUGUUGCAGUGCCCAUGUGGACAAGCAGGAAGACUGGCGACCUCACUCAGGUACCUAGGCUACAGGAGGCUCCAACUCCAUGCUUCCCUAAUUGCCAAGCUCCAGGUCCAGCAGCCCCUGCGCACCGUGCACGGUGCACCCUUCGUCAGCAUGCCCAUCCCUGUCAGAGAAUCAGAGGAAGCUACGUGGUUUUAACUUCUCUCUUAC
Molossus molossus (Pallas's mastiff bat) is the source of this 338-nucleotide long non-coding RNA. RefSeq lists it as uncharacterized. The record is from RefSeq and is a predicted model, not a curated record. The transcript has 3 exons. Lineage: Eukaryota; Metazoa; Chordata; Mammalia; Chiroptera; Molossidae.